UACGGGGGGGGCAAGCGUUGUUCGGAAUUACUGGGCGUAAAGGGCUCGUAGGCGGCCAACUAAGUCAGACGUGAAAUCCCUCGGCUUAACCGGGGAACUGCGUCUGAUACUGGAUGGCUUGAGUUUGGGAGAGGGAUGCGGAAUUCCAGGUGUAGCGGUGAAAUGCGUAGAUAUCAGGAGGAACACCUGUGGUGUAGACAGCUUACUGGACCAUUUCUGACGCUGAGACACGAAAGCGUGGGGAGCGAACAGG
Molecule: ribosomal RNA, 253 nt
Filed under: uncultured bacterium
Lineage: Bacteria
Description: partial 16S ribosomal RNA
Rfam family: Bacterial small subunit ribosomal RNA
Source: RNAcentral